This is a small nucleolar RNA of Panicum hallii, 107 nucleotides long. NCBI's taxonomy places the organism in Eukaryota, Viridiplantae, Streptophyta, Magnoliopsida, Poales, Poaceae. The record is from RefSeq and is a predicted model, not a curated record.
AUUCCGUGGUGUGGGCAUGCGGAUAUAUAAUCCUGCAAUCGCUCCUAUGCCUCGGCAAUGGUGUCGUCUGUGAGCUGUUGAAAGCUCGAGAUCUUGUUUCGGAGGGC